This 301-nucleotide ribosomal RNA is filed under the name uncultured bacterium. RNAcentral describes it as "partial 16S ribosomal RNA". It matches the Rfam family "Bacterial small subunit ribosomal RNA", at positions 509 to 807 of the family's 1533-position model. The record is from RNAcentral.
CAGUCGCCGCGGGAAUACGUAGGUGGCAAGCGUUGUCCGGAUUUAUUGGGCGUAAAGCGAGCGCAGGCGGUUUCUUAAGUCUGAUGUGAAAGCCCCCGGCUCAACCGGGGAGGGUCAUUGGAAACUGGGAGACUUGAGUGCAGAAGAGGAGAGUGGAAUUCCAUGUGUAGCGGUGAAAUGCGUAGAUAUAUGGAGGAACACCAGUGGCGAAGGCGGCUCUCUGGUCUGUAACUGACGCUGAGGCUCGAAAGCGUGGGGAGCGAACAGGAUUAGAUACCCCUGUAGUCCCUGUCUCUUAUAC